UUGAAGAGGAAGUGCUACUUGG
RNAcentral lists this non-coding RNA (22 nucleotides) under Arabidopsis thaliana (thale cress). Lineage: Eukaryota; Viridiplantae; Streptophyta; Magnoliopsida; Brassicales; Brassicaceae. The record is from RNAcentral.